Molecule: ribosomal RNA, 220 nt
Filed under: uncultured bacterium
Lineage: Bacteria
Description: partial 16S ribosomal RNA
Rfam family: Bacterial small subunit ribosomal RNA
Source: RNAcentral
GCAAGUCGAGCGCUACCUUCGGGUGGAGCGGCGGACGGGUUAGUAACGCGUGGGAACGUACCCUUCUCUACGGAAUAGCCUCGGGAAACUGAGAGUAAUACCGUAUACGCCCUUUUGGGGAAAGAUUUAUCGGAGAAGGAUCGGCCCGCGUUAGAUUAGAUAGUUGGUGGGGUAACGGCCUACCAAGUCUACGAUCUAUAGCUGGUUUGAGAGGAUGAUC